CCUGGUAGUCCACGCCGUAAACGAUGUCGAUUUGGAGGUUGUGCCCUUGAGGCGUGGCUUCCGGAGCUAACGCGUUAAAUCGACCGCCUGGGGAGUACGGCCGCAAGGUUAAAACUCAAAUGAAUUGACGGGGGCCCGCACAAGCGGUGGAGCAUGUGGUUUAAUUCGAUGCAACGCGAAGAACCUUACCUGGUCUUGACAUCCACAGAACUUUCCAGAGAUGGAUUGGUGCCUUCGGGAACUGUGAGACAGGUGCUGCAUGGCUGUCGUCAGCUCGUGUUGUGAAAUGUUGGGUUAAGUCCCGCAACGAGCGCAACCCUUAUCCUUUGUUGCCAGCGGUCCGGCCGGGAACUCAAAGGAGACUGCCAGUGAUAAACUGGAGGAAGGUGGGGAUGACGUCAAGUCAUCAUG
This 411-nucleotide ribosomal RNA is filed under the name Klebsiella pneumoniae. RNAcentral's name for it is "bacterial SSU rRNA". It matches the Rfam family "Bacterial small subunit ribosomal RNA", at positions 786 to 1197 of the family's 1533-position model. The record is from RNAcentral. Lineage: Bacteria; Pseudomonadati; Pseudomonadota; Gammaproteobacteria; Enterobacterales; Enterobacteriaceae.